CUUCAUGCCAGCUCAGCUUUUUUGGAAGAAGUAUUUGGGCUGCCCCUCAUUUGAGUCUUCCUCGCAAUGCAAGUCUUCAGUCUCUUCAUGAAUGGCCACUCCCUUACGCCCUCCAACACUGUAUUUCUCAUUCGUCAGCAUCUACCUUUAAAAAGGAAAUAUUCCUACGCACAGACUGAAAACCUUGAGGAGAGCAUCCACACAACUUUACUGCAGAUGUAACUGUUCUAAUCUAGAAACACGAUGCAACAUGAGAAAA
Long non-coding RNA from Gallus gallus (chicken), 259 nucleotides. The record is from Ensembl. Lineage: Eukaryota; Metazoa; Chordata; Aves; Galliformes; Phasianidae.